This 637-nucleotide ribosomal RNA is filed under the name Salmonella enterica. Its description in RNAcentral is "bacterial SSU rRNA". It matches the Rfam family "Bacterial small subunit ribosomal RNA", at positions 1 to 627 of the family's 1533-position model. Lineage: Bacteria; Pseudomonadati; Pseudomonadota; Gammaproteobacteria; Enterobacterales; Enterobacteriaceae. The record is from RNAcentral.
AAAUUGAAGAGUUUGAUCAUGGCUCAGAUUGAACGCUGGCGGCAGGCCUAACACAUGCAAGUCGAACGGUAACAGGAAGCAGCUUGCUGCUUCGCUGACGAGUGGCGGACGGGUGAGUAAUGUCUGGGAAACUGCCUGAUGGAGGGGGAUAACUACUGGAAACGGUGGCUAAUACCGCAUAACGUCGCAAGACCAAAGAGGGGGACCUUCGGGCCUCUUGCCAUCAGAUGUGCCCAGAUGGGAUUAGCUAGUUGGUGAGGUAACGGCUCACCAAGGCGACGAUCCCUAGCUGGUCUGAGAGGAUGACCAGCCACACUGGAACUGAGACACGGUCCAGACUCCUACGGGAGGCAGCAGUGGGGAAUAUUGCACAAUGGGCGCAAGCCUGAUGCAGCCAUGCCGCGUGUAUGAAGAAGGCCUUCGGGUUGUAAAGUACUUUCAGCGGGGAGGAAGGUGUUGUGGUUAAUAAGCGCAGCAAUUGACGUUACCCGCAGAAGAAGCACCGGCUAACUCCGUGCCAGCAGCCGCGGUAAUACGGAGGGUGCAAGCGUUAAUCGGAAUUACUGGGCGUAAAGCGCACGCAGGCGGUCUGUCAAGUCGGAUGUGAAAUCCCCGGGCUCAACCUGGGAACUGCAUU